CCUCCGGUUUCCUCUCCUCCUCCUCUUCCUCCUUCUUCUCCUCCUCCUCUUCUUCCUCCUCCUCUUUUCCAACCUCCUCCCCCUCAGCCACCGCCUCCUCCUCCACCACCACCACUCCCUCCGGGGCACCCGGGUCCCUGCAGAGUCCCGGGCCCGCACCGCCUCCACUGCAGCCCCCUGGAUCCCGAGCCUGCUGCACUGGAGCUUGUAGGAACGACCGACAGGCAGAUUGCUCGCGCUCAGCGCUCCACCGCAGCUGCACCCGGCGGCUCUGCGUCUGGGGAGCUGGGAUCGCCCCGGGAGCACGGCGAGGGUCCCAGCUCUGCCACCAGGCAGAUGGCUCAACCUCCUCCCGUGCCUCAGCUUCUCCUUCUCUAAAUGGAACAGUAACAGUUACUCUUGUUCUUCCCUGAGAUAAAUGAUCCUCAAGGUCAGCUGAGGAAGUGGGAGGGUAAACCCUUUGGGAAACUGAUUGGAUGAGCCAAUUGGAUGAUUACCCCAGCUGGCCAGGGUCACCACCCAAACAGUUCCUAGGUGUGGACAAUCUCUGAAGAUGGGUGAAGAUGCUUUUCUACUUUUGACAAUAAUGGUACCAUUGCUGGGUGUGCUCCACAAGUGGCAGAGAAGGGAGUGUCCUUAGAUCUGAGCCAAAGGGAUCAAGGUGGGUAAGCAGACCUAUGUCAAUCUAUCCAAGACUUAACGAAUAGCCAAGGAUGUGAGAAUCUGGAAAAUGAUAACCUGACUGGGGGGAGGGGUGAAGAAUCCAUUCUCUAGGGACAAUUCAAUUCCUAUCAAACAAAACAGACUAUGUAAAAACCAGCCCAAAAUAAAGCAUUGUAAUGUAAACCAGUCUGUGCAUUUAAAAAAAUCUUCUGACUUCUGUAAUUCUUGAACACUUAACCUUUUGUUGCUAUUGUUGAGAACAACUAAAAUUGAGUAUGUCAAAAAGACAAUAGGUUAGUUUUAAGUUUAAUUUUUUAUUAACAAUUGCUGUUAAAUUAAAUUCAAACACAUCACCCACUCCUUCAUAGCUCCCUGUGGAGACCACCCUCACCCACGGUGGGGACUACUCACAAGAUAUUUCUGCUCUCUUCUGAGUAUGCAAGGAUUUUGCCUUCCUGCCUGUCAAAGGUGUGGCCAUGAAGCUUUGGACCAUGACAGAAACUUCAGGCCGGCAUGCAAUCUGCUCCAUCUUCUCCAUCUUCUUGUGGAUGCAGGUAUCUCGAUGAAGCCGUCACAGGUCCCAAAGUGUUAUGACCUGCAGACCCACAACGGUUGGCGCUGUGGACUGAAUGUGGCUUGCCUCCUCCCAAGCUCUUGUGGAAUUUGGAGGUCACUGGGGGUAGCGUUGGGAGGUGGGGCGUUUAAAGGGCGAUCAGGUGAAGAUCGAGUCACUCCUUUCUCAAAGGAGAGGGUUAAUUCUCAGGUGGAGGGAGUUAUCGGGAAAGUGAUAAGUGACUGGUUUCCUUGGCUUUUCUCUCAUCCUCUUUUACCACGUGAUUCCUUCUGGCCUCCCACCAUGUUAUAACUCAGCACACGAACGUGAUACAUGAAGCCAAGCCAGCUGCUACCAUGUUCUUGGACUCCCAGCUUCCAAAAUCAUGGAGAAAAAUAAAAUUUUUUUCUUUUAUAA
Molecule: non-coding RNA, 1633 nt
Organism: Ictidomys tridecemlineatus (thirteen-lined ground squirrel)
Lineage: Eukaryota; Metazoa; Chordata; Mammalia; Rodentia; Sciuridae
Source: RefSeq, a predicted model, not a curated record